Molecule: ribosomal RNA, 474 nt
Filed under: uncultured organism
Description: partial 16S ribosomal RNA
Rfam family: Bacterial small subunit ribosomal RNA
Source: RNAcentral
UACACUCCUGCGGGAGGCAGCAGUGGGGAAUAUUGCACAAUGGGAGCAAGCCUGAUGCAGCCAUGCCGCGUGUAUGAAGAAGGCCUUCGGGUUGUAAAGUACUUUCAGCGGGGAGGAAGGCGAUAAGGUUAAUAACCUUGUUGAUUGACGUUACCCGCAGAAGAAGCACCGGCUAACUCCGUGCCAGCAGCCGCGGUAAUACGGAGGGUGCAAGCGUUAAUCGGAAUUACUGGGCGUAAAGCGCACGCAGGCGGUCUGUCAAGUCGGAUGUGAAAUCCCCGGGCUCAACCUGGGAACUGCAUUCGAAACUGGCAGGCUAGAGUCUUGUAGAGGGGGGUAGAAUUCCAGGUGUAGCGGUGAAAUGCGUAGAGAUCUGGAGGAAUACCGGUGGCGAAGGCGGCCCCCUGGACAAAGACUGACGCUCAGGUGCGAAAGCGUGGGGAGCAAACAGGAUUAGAUACCCCGGUAGUCCCA